UACGUAGGGGGCAAGCGUUGUCCGGAUUUAUUGGGCGUAAAGAGCGUGUAGGCGGCCAAGCAGGUCCGCUGUGAAAACUCGAGGCUCAACCUCGAGACGUCGGUGGAAACCGUUUGGCUAGAGUCCGGAAGAGGGGAGUGGAAUUCCCGGUGUAGCGGUGAAAUGCGCAGAUAUCGGGAAGAACACCCGUGGCGAAGGCGGCUCUCUGGGACGGUACUGACGCUGAGACGCGAAAGCGUGGGGAGCGAACAGG
RNAcentral lists this ribosomal RNA (253 nucleotides) under uncultured bacterium. RNAcentral's name for it is "partial 16S ribosomal RNA". It matches the Rfam family "Bacterial small subunit ribosomal RNA", at positions 524 to 776 of the family's 1533-position model. The record is from RNAcentral.